RNAcentral lists this long non-coding RNA (402 nucleotides) under Homo sapiens (human). RNAcentral describes it as "HSALNT0074243". The record is from RNAcentral. Lineage: Eukaryota; Metazoa; Chordata; Mammalia; Primates; Hominidae.
UAACUCUAUUGCCAAAGCACUAUGCCAGCAAAGGCUUGAUUGUCAAAAGGGUGGAUUGUAAUUCCUGAGUUAAAUAAAGAGGCAACGAUAGACACACAGCAUAUAUAUCCUGGGCAGACUACACUCCUUGACAUCUAAUCCCAGUUAGCUUUCUGAGGUAUGGACUGUAAGAAUUCGGGCUGCUGGGGAAAAAGCAGCAGAAAGCAUGGCUCUUCUGGGAAAGAGGUCUAGGCAGGGGACACAAAUGUCCAGUACUUGGAAUAAACCCAUGGUACACUUUCCUGAGGCCUGAAGAGAGAGACAUUUCAUUUUCUCCAGGAAAAGAGAAGCGAGAGAAAGAAAGUAAAAAGAAAGGAAGAAAGAGAGAGACAAAGAGUAUUUGAGAAGCGGAUACCAGUUAGG